AUAAAAUGUAAACUCUGCCGACACUUUUGUUUUCACAGACAAAAAAAAAUCAGAUUAGGAAAGCGUCGACUGGAUCUUUAACAUAGAUCCUGCAAUUGUUGAAGAGAAAAAAAAAAGAAAAUGUAACAAAAAUAGCAAUCCUUCUUCUUCCUCUUCUUCGCUCCUCCUCUCAGACGGAGGACCAGGUGACGCGUGGACUCCUUUUGGAUGUUGUAGUCGGCGAGAUUGCUUCCAUCCUCGAGCCGUUUCCCGGCGAAAAGGAGGCGCUGCUGCUCCGAUGGGAUUCCUUCUUUGUCUUCUAUCUCGAUUUGACGUUCUCGUAGGUGUCAGAGGAACCGACCUGGAGGGUUAUCGUCUUCUCCGUUAGGGUUUUCACGAAGAUCUGGAUCCUUUUCUGCGACGGGGAACAAACAGUAGAAAUAGAAGAAAGAGAAAAAAAUCGAGAUAGAAUGUCUUGUUCAUCUCUGUAUUAAAAGAUAUCUUUGAGAAAGUGAAAAGAAGACUUGAAAGACAACGAAACGGUAAAUGGAGACAGAAGCAGCGAGAAGUUAGAUAAAUCUAUGGAACAGAGGAUGGAAGGAGCAGAGAAGAAACAGAGACAGAUGAUGUCUUUGAUGGAGGAUUUGACCACACCCUAUAUCUGCAGAUAAUAAUUUUUUUUUAUAUUUGCCAAACUCUAACAUCAAUGAUGAUCUUUAAAAAAAACUUUAUUUUUUUUCCAUUUCAGAGCUGAAGGCAAAAUUUUGAAAAGAAAGAUGAGUCAGAGUCUUCAAAGCAGUUAGAAACUUCUGUGAAAUCCUUAACACGAAGAUAUCAUGUUGAGCAGUAGAAAGCGUUCGUGUGCGAAAUAAAAGGUCCACUAUGUGGAUGAUAAAGCAUUAAAGGAUUCCUGAAGGAUUUUUGAAACUGUUGUUGUUGUUGGGCUUCGUCCUAAUUAUGAUAUUCAAGCACUUGAAAGUCAGUCCGCCCUUUUUCAGACUUGGAAAUCCGAAAGCUCUACCGGGAGAUUGCUUAGUGCACUUCAAGUCUCUCUCAAACCUCAGAACAAAGCUGACAGUUAAAUAAUGAUGAAAGACAUGAGGCAAAAUCAAACAAAAACCUUCUAGUACACAGAUAAGUCUCGUACUAUAGAUUUAUUUGGUUGAGUUAAAAUGAGAAAUGGUAUAUGCUUUACAUUUUAGUGAGCUGACUUAGCUAAGAAUACAAUUGUGGUACAGGUGGUGCAUUUAGGAUUGCUUACAUUGUGAGCACCAAGAUAAACAUGUUGAAGGAUUGAAGGAGCAGAUAAGAAGCAUAGACAGAUGAUGUCUUUCUCUUAAAGCGUCCAUGUUGUUGACAGAACCCCAUUCAUGAGCGAGUUGAAUGAAAUAAUUCUCAGUCAGGAACAUCUUAAGCCUUGUGACCUAUCACAAAGAGUCCAAAGGCGAUGUGAAUCAAUCAAAGACUACAGACUUCAUUCCUUUAUGAACUAUCUAUCUACAAUACACAGAUAAGUUUCCGACUAUAGCUUUAAUUUUCGGGAUUAUACAUGAGAAUAGGUAUAUGUUUUAUACUUAGUGAGUUGACUGUAUAGAUACAAUUCAUGUACAUGUCUUCAUUAAAAGGUAUAGAGACAAAAGUUUUAUACAUUUGAAGGUUUAGUACCAAUUAGAAACUUAUCAUCAAGUGUUCCGGAUAGAACUGUCUGGAAAUCGAUCAAGUUAAGAUACAAAUCAUCAUUCACGAAACUGGACCGAGUAACGACAGUAGAUUGAUUAAAUACAAUCUUGCAGGGGUUAUUGGUUGUGCGGAAAGCUCCUCUUGCAGGCCUAACAUGCAAGUUGCGGAUGUUGCACCACACUCCAACCAGAAGAUCACUGCCUUUACUCUCAAUGUAUAUGAUUUGAAAAAGUUUUGCAAGACAAAGAUUUGAAGGAGAAGAGGUUCAAAGUGAAUGAAAUGGUAUAUUUGGUGAUGGGCUGGGAUUAUAAUUAGUAUGGGCUGAGAUAUUUAAUUGAAUAAGCAGAUGAUAUAUUUGGUGAUGGAUUUGUGUGUAGAUUACAUUUGAUUUUUUUUUAUAGGCUGAUGGGCUUUGUAAAUUUCGAUUUUUUUUUCCAUAGGAUAGGCUGAUGGGCUUUGUAAUUGAACGAAAAUGUUUUAAAAAAAAGAAGAAGAAGACA
Raphanus sativus (radish) is the source of this 2159-nucleotide long non-coding RNA. RefSeq lists it as uncharacterized. The transcript has 7 exons. The record is from RefSeq and is a predicted model, not a curated record. Lineage: Eukaryota; Viridiplantae; Streptophyta; Magnoliopsida; Brassicales; Brassicaceae.